AUGGCGAAAUACUGGUGGGGAAGUUCCCUUGAUCGUCGAUCCUUACACUGGCUAGCCUGGGAUAAAUUGGCUACGCCCAAACCCAACGGGGGGAUGGGCUUUCGCGACAUGCGAAUUUUCAACUUGGCUCUAUUGGGAAAGCACGGAUGGAGAUUUAUGACCAACCCGGAUUCACUGUGCGCCAAGGUUAUGAAAGGUAGAUACUUUCCCAACUCUGAUUUCAUGCAAGCUUCUGUUCCAAAGUCGUCUUCAGCUGUUUGGAGAGCGAUUGUGGCAGGCCAGAAAGCACUAAAUACAGGGCUUGUGAAGAGAGUGGGCGAUGGAUCUUCUAUUCGGGUGUGGGAGGACAAGUGGAUUCCAUCCACCAACACCAUGACCCCCCUGCUACGACCAACUCACACGGCAGUCCAGACUGUCAAUGAUCUUAUUGAUACAUCUAACUGGACAUGGCGCCGUGAUCUUGUACGAGAGACUUUCAUUGCUCUGGAUGCUGCGGCGGUCCUAAACAUACCACUGCGGCAUGGAGGAGGGGAGGAUUUCCUAGCCUGGGCACAUGAGAAGUCAGGCAUCUAUACUGUUAAAUCGGCGUAUCGAGCUCUGGUGAAUCAAAAAGAGCGACUAGCUCUAGAGGAGGGGCAGAUUACCGGCACUUCAACGAAUCAGCAACAGUUGUGGAAGGAUGUUUGGAAACUCAAUGUAGUCCCAAAAGUAAGAGUUUUUUUGGUGGCGCGUGUUAAGGGGCACUCUACCAGAUGA
Molecule: ribosomal RNA, 756 nt
Filed under: Triticum aestivum (bread wheat)
Lineage: Eukaryota; Viridiplantae; Streptophyta; Magnoliopsida; Poales; Poaceae
Description: partial small subunit ribosomal RNA
Source: RNAcentral